RNAcentral lists this ribosomal RNA (576 nucleotides) under Bacillus siamensis. RNAcentral describes it as "bacterial SSU rRNA". It matches the Rfam family "Bacterial small subunit ribosomal RNA", at positions 38 to 599 of the family's 1533-position model. The record is from RNAcentral. Lineage: Bacteria; Bacillati; Bacillota; Bacilli; Caryophanales; Bacillaceae.
GGGGGUCGUAGUAGGUUGACAUGCGCUCGGGGCCUGGGAACUUGCUCCCUGAUGUUAGCGGCGGACGGGUGAGUAACACGUGGGUAACCUGCCUGUAAGACUGGGAUAACUCCGGGAAACCGGGGCUAAUACCGGAUGGUUGUUUGAACCGCAUGGUUCAGACAUAAAAGGUGGCUUCGGCUACCACUUACAGAUGGACCCGCGGCGCAUUAGCUAGUUGGUGAGGUAACGGCUCACCAAGGCGACGAUGCGUAGCCGACCUGAGAGGGUGAUCGGCCACACUGGGACUGAGACACGGCCCAGACUCCUACGGGAGGCAGCAGUAGGGAAUCUUCCGCAAUGGACGAAAGUCUGACGGAGCAACGCCGCGUGAGUGAUGAAGGUUUUCGGAUCGUAAAGCUCUGUUGUUAGGGAAGAACAAGUGCCGUUCAAAUAGGGCGGCACCUUGACGGUACCUAACCAGAAAGCCACGGCUAACUACGUGCCAGCAGCCGCGGUAAUACGUAGGUGGCAAGCGUUGUCCGGAAUUAUUGGGCGUAAAGGGCUCGCAGGCGGUUUCUUAAGUCUGAUGUGAAA